GGACGGGAACCCCUACCUCCAAGUUCCCAUGGGCCCCAGACGUCUGGGCGGGAGGGAAAAGGAGAGGGGGGGGAAUCGGAGCCCCUGCCUCCACAUUCCCAUGGUUCCCGGAGACCCGGGAGGGAGGGAAGCAGGGGGAUGUGGGUCUCUGAGCAUUUUCCAGGUUCCGUGGAAUGGGUCGAGCCGACAGAUGAGAGGCAUGUAGAGGGAUCGGAGGUUCAGGACAAGUUUGUCCUGGAAGCGGCAUCCAUGAACACUGCUGCCUUGGAUGCAGUAAGAACGCUGGUCCGAAGCAGCCUCCAGCAAGACGCCAGUGCUUCCACUGCAAUCAGAGAGGACAUUUUGUGGUUCAAUGUCCGUUUCUGGGCAGGGCACCCCCAGGGACAGUGGGAGGGGGGGAGGGAGAUCCCAUUCCCCCAAAAAACUGAAGAAACAACGCGCACCUGCCUCGCGUGAAGAUAAAAGGCAGGCAGGCCACAGCACCUUAAGGGGAGCUGUGAGUUAUCAAGUAACUGUGCAGGUGGUAGUUCAGAACAUCAGGGUGCCUUUGAGCGUGGCAGAUGACCCCACCAAUCGGGGGGUUGCAUCAAACCGCAGGCGACGCAAAAGAAAAAGGACCCUACAAUCUCCUUAAAAAAUGUUUUUCCCCAAAGCCCCAGUCUGUGUGUGUCCCAAAUCCCUAUGUUUGUAAUAAAGUUGCCUCCCAGUUUCCCUAUCCCUAAACACCCGGAAAAGAACCAACCGCAGCACCAUCUUCAGGCCCUCUCCACCUGCGUAGCAGUCAGUCGCUGCAGCAGCAGCAGAAGCUGGGAGAAGAGGCCACCGCUUGAGAGACUGAAUCAACACCACUGCUUUCUUUUUAUAUUUUAUUAAGCGGGGAGAUGUUGCAUCCCGGAGUUUGGGUUUAGAUUAGGGUUUUUAAUUUAUGUUAAAAUAAGUCAAGUUCUGUAAUCCCGCGUUUCCCCCGCGUUGUUCCCCCCCGCGGUUUCUGGCCCCACGCUGCCUGCUGCCGGACCUUACCCCUGUGCCGCUCCUGUAAGCACCCUGCCGUCCGGCCCCGGGAAACCCCGUGCUGGCCGCCCCGAGCCACACGGUCCCGCUCAGCCCGCUCUGGCUCGGUGCCCGCCCCUGCGGGGUUCUCUGGUUGGUCGCUGUUGCUGACGUCACCGCCACGGCAGCCGCCCCUAUUGGCCGGCAGGCCGUGGAUCCUCUCGCCACGCCCCUCUAUAAAGCCCUAUCCCGCCGGCAGUCAGGCGCCAUUUUCUCCCAUGCGAGUGCCGGGAGCGGUCGCGUCUUUCCAUCGAUCCGCGCCGCGUGACCAAUAAACCGUUCCUGCCAAGCACGGAGUAAAUGGACAAAUUCCUUACCUCUUUGCCGGGUCCCUGGCGCACGGUAACAGAGACUGGCCAGCCCACGCGCCCGAGACACGGAGCCGUGUCCGGGAACCCGCGGCAGCAAACCCCGGCAGCACGUGGAAGCUACGCCACAGCCGGGCUCCCAAGAGCUGCGUGCAGCCGGGGAGAGCAAAAAACCCACGCCGCAGAGUACCACACCUUACACACCUUGAAGAACCCUGCAUGAAGAACCCUGCAGAGGUGAUCCCUGGCAGAAGAAAUGGCUUUGCAUAUCUAAGCAAGAAUUCAGGACAUUACCCUGCUAGACAGAGGGGCACAUGGAUCACUGUACAGGCCUCUGAAGCCUUGUUGUGGUUUAACCCCAGCUGGCAAACAGGCACCACACUGCUGCUUGCUCACUUUCCCCCCUGGAAUGGAGAGAAAUGGAAGAGCAAAAGUGAGAAAACUCAUUGUUUGAGGUGUUCAGCCAUCGCCAGGAAAGUUGGGCUCCAGCACGCAUAACAGAGGCCCGAUGCUACACACAAAAGGAGUGGCAAGUGAGACAUACCAUAAACAGGCAGAGCAGAAGCAGGAAAUACUGAAUGCCACAGGACUGAAGCUACAAAGACUCUUUUAAAAGAGGAACUGGUUAAAUUAAGGCCAAAUUCUAACUCUCAGCUAUGAAGCAAA
This is a long non-coding RNA of Vidua chalybeata, 2024 nucleotides long. RefSeq lists it as uncharacterized. The record is from RefSeq and is a predicted model, not a curated record. Lineage: Eukaryota; Metazoa; Chordata; Aves; Passeriformes; Viduidae. The transcript has 5 exons.